RNAcentral lists this ribosomal RNA (253 nucleotides) under uncultured bacterium. RNAcentral describes it as "partial 16S ribosomal RNA". It matches the Rfam family "Bacterial small subunit ribosomal RNA", at positions 524 to 776 of the family's 1533-position model. The record is from RNAcentral.
UACGUAGGGCGCAAGCGUUGUCCGGAAUUAUUGGGCGUAAAGAGCUCGUAGGCGGCUUGUCACGUCGGGUGUGAAAGACCGGGGCUUAACCCCGGUUCUGCAUUCGAUACGGGCUGGCUAGAGUGUGGUAGGGGAGAUCGGAAUUCCUGGUGUAGCGGUGAAAUGCGCAGAUAUCAGGAGGAACACCGAUGGCGAAGGCAGCUCGCUGGGACGGUACUGACGCUGAGGCGCGAAAGCGUGGGGAGCGAACAGG